GCCAAGGUGGCGUAGUGGUUAGCACAUCUGCUUAGUGAGCAGGGGACCAGGGUUCGAAUCCCGGUCUUGGUA
Schistocerca serialis cubense is the source of this 72-nucleotide non-coding RNA. NCBI's taxonomy places the organism in Eukaryota, Metazoa, Arthropoda, Insecta, Orthoptera, Acrididae. The record is from the annotation of a RefSeq genome assembly.